GAUGAACGUUGGCGGUGUGCCUAAUACAUGCAAGUCGAACGGAGACUGUAGCAAUACUGUCUUAGUGGCGAACGGGUGAGUAACGCGUUGGUGAUCUGCCUCGAAGUGUGGAAUAACCUCCCGAAAGGGAAGCUAAUACCGCAUAGUCUCUCAAGGUUUAGAAAAUUGAGAGUAAAGGAUUUAUUCGCUUCGAGAGGAGCCUGCGUCCCAUCAGCUAGUUGGUAGGUAACGGCCUACCAAGGCAAUGACGGGUAGGGGACCUGAGAGGGUGGCCCCCCACAAUGGAACUGAAACACGGUCCAUACACCUACGGGUGGCAGCAGUAGGGAAUAGUUAGUAAUGGGCGAAAGCCUGAACUAGCAACGCCGCGUGUGCGAAGAAGGCCUUGGGUUGUAAAGCACUUUUUGAGAGGAUGAGGAAGGACGGUACUCUCAGAAUAAGUCUCGGCUAACUACGUGCCAGCAGCCGCGGUAAGAGUGUGUGUA
RNAcentral lists this ribosomal RNA (485 nucleotides) under uncultured bacterium. Its description in RNAcentral is "bacterial SSU rRNA". It matches the Rfam family "Bacterial small subunit ribosomal RNA", at positions 28 to 533 of the family's 1533-position model. The record is from RNAcentral.